ACUGGGCAUGGUGAUGUUUGCCUGUAGCCUCAGCUUCUUAGGAGGCUGAGGCAGGAGGAUCACCUCAGCCCAGGAGUUUGAGACCAGCCUGGGCAAUGUAGUGGAAACCUGUCUCAA
RNAcentral lists this small RNA (117 nucleotides) under Marmota monax (woodchuck). Lineage: Eukaryota; Metazoa; Chordata; Mammalia; Rodentia; Sciuridae. The record is from RNAcentral.